Lathyrus oleraceus (garden pea) is the source of this 658-nucleotide long non-coding RNA. RefSeq lists it as uncharacterized. The transcript is spliced from 2 exons. Lineage: Eukaryota; Viridiplantae; Streptophyta; Magnoliopsida; Fabales; Fabaceae. The record is from RefSeq and is a predicted model, not a curated record.
UUUUAUUGAGUCUUCUAGGGUUUUCAUUGUUAUUAAGAAUAUUCAGGAUAGUAUUAGUGACAUCAAGACCCACAAUGCUCUAAUAGUUAUGAUAGAAAAGGCUGGCAUGCCACCUGGACCAGGAUAAGCCAAGCCUUUGAGUUGAGUCAUAACUUUAUAUACCUCUUCAGCGAAGAAAAGGGCAUUUAGGCCAAUUUCCAUAUUAUUGUUGAGCUUGUUUUUCAAAAUAUUGUCAAUCUCUUGGGAUUGGGUGAGCUUAGAAAACUUUAGUUUCUCCUUGUAGAAUCGAAUGAAAGUGUCUUAGAUCUCUUCUUCUUUGAAGGUUUGUAGGGGUAAAGAUAUAAUUGGUUUAUGUGCUGGUAACAACAUGCUCCAUUAGUUUCGACAAGGUAAGGUUCAUAUGGCUAGGUGUGGAAUGACUAAAUUUUUUCAUGGAAGAUGAAGAAGGCGAACGAACGAGGGAGGCUAAAAGCUAAUAAAGAUGAAUGUGAUAUAGGAUGCUACCUAUAUUUGUUGGGGAUUCAAAUUUGCAUAAGAAACCAACUCAAUUAUAUUGUAACAACAAAUAUGUAUAAAAUCAUUGUAACUAACAGAGCAUUAUAUCUUAGAGAGAGAAGGUAUGCCUUCUCUCUAGAAUAGAAAACCCUAAUCUGCUCCA